GGCUGGUUGGAAGGCUGGUUAAACCGUUUGGUUUACGACCACUACGACCCGGGUUCGAUCCCCGCAUUGGACA
Non-coding RNA from Cordylochernes scorpioides, 73 nucleotides. The record is from the annotation of a GenBank genome assembly. NCBI's taxonomy places the organism in Eukaryota, Metazoa, Arthropoda, Arachnida, Pseudoscorpiones, Chernetidae.